GACGAACGCUGGCGGCGUGCUUAACACAUGCAAGUCGAACGGAAAGGCCCUGCUUUUGUGGGGUGCUCGAGUGGCGAACGGGUGAGUAACACGUGAGUAACCUGCCCUUGACUUUGGGAUAACUUCAGGAAACUGGGGCUAAUACCGGAUAGGAGCUCCUGCUGCAUGGUGGGGGUUGGAAAGUUUCGGCGGUUGGGGAUGGACUCGCGGCUUAUCAGCUUGUUGGUGGGGUAGUGGCUUACCAAGGCUUUGACGGGUAGCCGGCCUGAGAGGGUGACCGGCCACAUUGGGACUGAGAUACGGCCCAGACUCCUACGGGAGGCAGCAGUGGGUAAUAUUGCACAAUGGGCGGAAGCCUGAUGCAGCAACGCCGCGUGCGGGAUGACGGCCUUCGGGUUGUAAACCGCUUUCGCCUGUGACGAAGCGUGAGUGACGGUAAUGGGUAAAGAAGCACCGGCUAACUACGU
RNAcentral lists this ribosomal RNA (467 nucleotides) under uncultured bacterium. RNAcentral describes it as "partial 16S ribosomal RNA". It matches the Rfam family "Bacterial small subunit ribosomal RNA", at positions 28 to 506 of the family's 1533-position model. The record is from RNAcentral.